UACGUAGGGGGCGAGCGUUGUCCGGAUUUACUGGGCGUAAAGGGCUCGUAGGCGGCCAACUAAGUCAUACGUGAAAUCCCUCAGCUUAACUGGGGAACUGCGUGUGAUACUGGAUGGCUUGGAUUUGGGAGAGGGAUGCGGAAUUCCAGGUGUAGCGGUGAAAUGCGUAGAUAUCUGGAGGAACACCGGUGGCGAAGGCGGCAUCCUGGACCAAUAUUGACGCUGAGGAGCGAAAGCUAGGGGAGCAAACGGG
RNAcentral lists this ribosomal RNA (253 nucleotides) under uncultured bacterium. Its description in RNAcentral is "partial 16S ribosomal RNA". It matches the Rfam family "Bacterial small subunit ribosomal RNA", at positions 524 to 776 of the family's 1533-position model. The record is from RNAcentral.